Molecule: long non-coding RNA, 1624 nt
Filed under: Triticum aestivum (bread wheat)
Lineage: Eukaryota; Viridiplantae; Streptophyta; Magnoliopsida; Poales; Poaceae
Description: long non-coding RNA (TAES_LNC025552)
Source: RNAcentral
UGCCCUUUGCCAUGUCAUGCAUAUUUAAACCGGACAUGCAUCAUACUUGGUUGUGCAUCAUGCCAUGCUUAUGUGGUGGUUGUUUACUAUGUUGUGUGCUUUUUCCGGUGUUUGCUUCUUCGGGUUGGUUCCGAUAACGUCGCGUCUGUGAGGACCCGUUCGACUAUGUCCGUGUGUCUUCUUCAUGGACUCAUUCUUCUUCCUUGCGGGAUCUCAGGCAAGAUGACCAUACCCUCGAAAUCACUUCUAUCUUUGCUUGCUAGUUGCUCGCUCUUUUGUUAUGCCUAUGUUGUGAUACCUACCACUUGCUUAUCAUGUCUCCUAUAUUGUUGAACCAAGCCUCUAACCCACCUUGUCCUAGCAAACCGUUGAUUGGCUAUGUUACUGCUUUGCUCAGCCCCUCUUAUAGCGUUGUUAGUUGCAUGUGAAGAUUGAAGUUUGUUCCUUGUUGGGACAUGGAGAUGUUGUUCCUUGUUGGAACAUGUUUACUUGUUGGGAUAUCACAAUAUAUCUUAUUUAAUUAAUGCAUCUAUAUACUUGGUAAAGGGUGGAAUGCUCGGCCUUAUGCCUGGUGUUUUGUUCCACUCUUGCCGCCCUAGUUUCCGUCAUAUCGGUGUUAUGUUUCCGGAUUUUGCGUUCCUUACGCGGUUGGGUAAUGGUGGGAACCCCUUGACAGUUCGCCUUGAAUAAAACUCCUCCAGCAAUGCCCAACCUUGGUUUUACCAUUUGCACUAACAACCUACCACCUUCCCUUGGGUUCUUCAGACUCAAGGGUCAUCUUUAUUCUAACACCCCCGGGCCAGUGCUCCUCUGAGUGUUGGUCCGAACUAGAGUCCUGUGCAGCGCCCCCUCGGGGAAACUCGAGGUUUGGUUUUAGUUGUAUGGAGAGCUCAUCUAAGUGUGCCCUGAGAACGAGAUAUGUGCAGCUCCUAUCGGGAUUUGUCGGCACAUUCGGGCGGUGUUGCUGGUUUAGUUUUACCAUUGUCGAAAUGUGUUGUAACCGGGAUUCCGAGUCUGAUCGGGUCUUCCCGCUAGAAGGAAUAUCCUUCGUUGACCGUGAGAGCUUGUGAUGGGCUAAGUUGGGACACCCCUGCAGGGAUUUGAACUUUCGAAAGCCGUGCCCGCGGUUAUGGGCAGAUGGGAAUUUGUUAAUGUCCGGUUGUAGAAAACCUGAAGUUGACCUUAAUUAAAAUGCAUCAACUGCAUGUGUAACCGUGAUGGUCUCUUUCCGGCGGAGUCCGGGAAGUGAACACGGUGUUGGAGUUAUGCUUGACGUAGGUUGUACUAGGAUCACUUCUUGAUCAUAGUUUCUCGAUCGUGCUUUGCCUUCUCUUCUCGCUCUCAUUUGCGUAUGUUAGCCACCAUAUAUGCUAGUCGCUUGCUGCAGCUCCACCUCAUACCUUUUACCCUUCCCAUAAGCUUAAAUAGUCUUGAUCGCGAGGGUGCGAGAUUGUUGAGUCCCUGUGACUCAUAGAUACUUCCAAAACCAGCUUGCAGGUGCCGUUGAACCGUGCAGAUGACGCAACCAAGCUCAAGGAGGAGCUCGAUGAAGAUCUUGCCAUUUGUGUUGUUUCGUUCUAUUUGAUCAGUAGUGGAGCCCAGUCGGGUCGAUCGGGGAUCUGUG